RNAcentral lists this ribosomal RNA (420 nucleotides) under Globigerinella siphonifera. RNAcentral describes it as "SSU rRNA". It matches the Rfam family "Eukaryotic small subunit ribosomal RNA", at positions 1446 to 1685 of the family's 1831-position model. Lineage: Eukaryota; Foraminifera; Rotaliida; Globigerinidae. The record is from RNAcentral.
UGCGGCAAUAACAGGUCUGUGAUGCCCUCAGAUGUCCCGGGCCGCACACGUGCUACAUUGAUUAGCGCAGUGCGCAUACUUUCAAUAUGAUACAUUGGUUUUGGUAGUAAGCUAUUCAUCUGAUGGAUAUGCUACUCUCCAUACCAAUACUAUCUAGUCUGAAAAGACUGGGUAAUCUAUUGUAAGUGCUGGUUCCUCUUCCCGUUGAGCAUUUUAAUAAUGGUCUCUCUACGUCCCUAGUAUAUUCUAGUGCGAUUGUAGUUGAGUCUGCCAUUUAUGCAAGUGUCAAUUCUCAGUGGGGACAGACAUUUGAUAAUUCUUUGUCUCGUUCUUAACUAGGAAUGCCUUGUACGGGUCUUGGUUCAACAGACCACCCGGAAUACGUCCCUGCCCUUUGUACACACCGCCCGUCGCUCUUAC